UGGGCCGUAACUGACGCUGAGGAGCGAAAGGGUGGGGAGCAAACAGGCUUAGAUACCCUGGUAGUCCACCCCGUAAACGUUGGGAACUAGUUGUGGGGUCCAUUCCACGGAUUCCGUGACGCAGCUAACGCAUUAAGUUCCCCGCCUGGGGAGUACGGCCGCAAGGCUAAAACUCAAAGGAAUUGACGGGGACCCGCACAAGCGGCGGAGCAUGCGGAUUAAUUCGAUGCAACGCGAAGAACCUUACCAAGGCUUGACAUAUACGAGAACGGGCCAGAAAUGGUCAACUCUUUGGACACUCGUAAACAGGUGGUGCAUGGUUGUCGUCAGCUCGUGUCGUGAGAUGUUGGGUUAAGUCCCGCAACGAGCGCAACCCUCGUUCUAUGUUGCCAGCACGUAAUGGUGGGAACUCUGGGAUACUGCCGGGGUCAACUCGGAGGAAGGUGGGGAUGACGUCAAAUCAUCAUGCCCCUUAUGUCUUGGGCUUCACGCAUGCUACAAUGGCCGGUACAAAGGGCUGCAAUACCGCGAGGUGGAGCGAAUCCCAAAAAGCCGGUCCCAGUUCGGAUUGAGGUCUGCAACUCGACCUCAUGAAGUCGGAGUCGCUAGUAAUCGCAGAUCAGCAACGCUGCGGUGAAUACGUUCCCGGGUCUUGUACACACCGCCCGUCAA
This 672-nucleotide ribosomal RNA is filed under the name Microbacterium sp. CRIB-57. Its description in RNAcentral is "bacterial SSU rRNA". It matches the Rfam family "Bacterial small subunit ribosomal RNA", at positions 730 to 1400 of the family's 1533-position model. The record is from RNAcentral. Lineage: Bacteria; Bacillati; Actinomycetota; Actinomycetes; Micrococcales; Microbacteriaceae.